CACGUAGGGGGCGAGCGUUGUCCGGAUUCAUUGGGCGUAAAGCGCGCGCAGGCGGCUCGGAAAGUCGGGUGUGAAAACUCGGGGCUCAACCCCGGGCGUGCAUCCGAUACUGCCGGGCUUGAGGCAGGUAGGGGAGAUCGGAAUUCCUGGUGUAGCGGUGAAAUGCGCAGAUAUCAGGAGGAACACCGGUGGCGAAGGCGGAUCUCUGGGCCAUUACUGACGCUGAGGAGCGAAAGCGUGGGGAGCGAACAGG
This 253-nucleotide ribosomal RNA is filed under the name uncultured bacterium. RNAcentral's name for it is "partial 16S ribosomal RNA". It matches the Rfam family "Bacterial small subunit ribosomal RNA", at positions 524 to 776 of the family's 1533-position model. The record is from RNAcentral.